UACGGAGGGGGCUAGCGUUGUUCGGAAUUACUGGGCGUAAAGCGUGCGUAGGUGGUUCGUUAAGUCUGAUGUGAAAGCCCUGGGCUCAACCUGGGAAUGGCAUUGGAAACUGGCGACCUAGAGUGCGGUAGAGGGUAGUGGAAUUCCCGGUGUAGCAGUGAAAUGCGUAGAGAUCGGGAGGAACAUCCGUGGCGAAGGCGACUACCUGGACCAGCACUGACACUGAGGCACGAAAGCGUGGGGAGCAAACAGG
This 253-nucleotide ribosomal RNA is filed under the name uncultured bacterium. Its description in RNAcentral is "partial 16S ribosomal RNA". It matches the Rfam family "Bacterial small subunit ribosomal RNA", at positions 524 to 776 of the family's 1533-position model. The record is from RNAcentral.